ACGACAUUCGGAUGGUGGGUCUAAUGAGCAAUAUCACCCGCUCAGUAGAAGAUCUUACUUUUGUCUU
This 67-nucleotide microRNA precursor is filed under the name Bombyx mori (domestic silkworm). RNAcentral's name for it is "mir-2774 microRNA precursor family". It matches the Rfam family "mir-2774 microRNA precursor family". The record is from Rfam by way of RNAcentral. Lineage: Eukaryota; Metazoa; Arthropoda; Insecta; Lepidoptera; Bombycidae.